This 427-nucleotide ribosomal RNA is filed under the name Bacteroidota bacterium. Its description in RNAcentral is "Bacteroidetes bacterium partial 16S ribosomal RNA". It matches the Rfam family "Bacterial small subunit ribosomal RNA", at positions 355 to 776 of the family's 1533-position model. Lineage: Bacteria; Pseudomonadati; Bacteroidota. The record is from RNAcentral.
UAGGGAAUCUUCCGCAAUGGACGCAAGUCUGACGGAGCAACGCCGCGUGAGUGAAGAAGGAUUUCGGUUCGUAAAACUCUGUUGUUAGAGAAGAACAGCGCAUAGAGUAACUGUUAUGCGUGUGACGGUAUCUAACCAGAAAGCCACGGCUAACUACGUGCCAGCAGCCGCGGUAAUACGUAGGUGGCAAGCGUUGUCCGGAUUUAUUGGGCGUAAAGCGAGCGCAGGCGGUUAGAUAAGUCUGAAGUUAAAGGCAGUGGCUCAACCAUUGUAGGCUUUGGAAACUGUUUAACUUGAGUGCAGAAGGGGAGAGUGGAAUUCCAUGUGUAGCGGUGAAAUGCGUAGAUAUAUGAGGAACACCGGUGGCGAAAGCGGCUCUCUGGUCUGUAACUGACGCUGAGGCUCGAAAGCGUGGGGAGCGAACAGG